Molecule: long non-coding RNA, 1782 nt
Organism: Lotus japonicus
Lineage: Eukaryota; Viridiplantae; Streptophyta; Magnoliopsida; Fabales; Fabaceae
Exons: 8
Source: RefSeq, a predicted model, not a curated record
UGUUCCUAAGAGAACUUCAAAUCUGGGCCAUUUAUUUCACUCUCUUUCCAUUUUCACUCUUUAAUCCUGGCCCUUCAUCUGUGAGACUUUUUUCCCCUCUAUUCUACUCAAGCUCCUGUAUGACGUCACAGAACGCGUUGAUGGAGUAUGGGAUGAAGGAGAGGAGUGUGUCCAUGGUUUGAUUUGGUGGGUUAUCGUCAUCCCUGCAGGCCCUGUCUCUGUAGCCUAUCACAUCAUCGUGUUAGGUUUUCCUCUCUUCUCCCUUUCAGCCGACGUCUGCACAACACAUGAGGAAGGAGGAGCAGAAGAGUUGAGUUGAGUUAGGUUGGAAUUUGAUGGAGAUUAGACAAUGGAGGAAGGAGAAAGCAAGGAGAAGGACAAGAGAUGAUGAUGGAAAGUACAAAAUUUUCAGAAUCAGAUUCAGAGGGAGAAGAGAAGAUGGUGGUUGUGAAUGGUUAGGUGAGGCAGCUCAGAUGACAGGAUAAAUCAUCCCGAUUUUGGAAGGAAGAGUGAAGAAGAGGGAAGAAGGUUGCUUGAGAAGGACUGCUGUCAGAUGAGGAUCAGUAGCAACAGAGAAGAUGAUGCUAUUCGGUCAUCGUUGUAUGACAUCAGGUAUAAGAAAGGAGGUUCAACUCAGAGAAGCAGCAAAGCAGAAUGUGGAUACUGAGGUACUGGAGAACUGGAAAGGCUGAAGCAACAGGGAAGAAUUUGAAGAGUAAAUCUUCCAAUUCAUCCUCUGAGCAAGACUUCGAUUCAUUUCUUCUUGGAGAUCUUGAAGACAAUGAUGGAGGUCCAGAAGAGACUCCACUACACUAUCUUUCUCCUUGUUCCUUCAUUUGUGCUUUGGUUCUAAGAUAACACUAGGACGUGUUUUUUUAGUUUUUUGCUCUUGGUGGUGGGGCUGUCACGUGAUGCUAUACACUAUGGGGUGUGGAUCAGAAGAAACAGAGAAGAUGAUGGACUCUUUCGUCAUUGAUUUCUGCCUUGUCCUCGUCAGAUCACAUCAGAUUGCUAUGUUUAUUUGAGCUUUGAGGCCGCAGAUAAGAUAAGAGGUUGCAACUGGUAAUAUUAUCCAAUUAAUGUUUGUUAGCUUUCAAUUUGCCCCACCAUGUAUCACUUGAUUGGUAUCACUUCCUGAUAUGUUGAACAUAGGUGCUACUGUUGAUGUCGAAUAAUCAAGAUGGGAGGUACUUGAGUAAUAUAGGCAGGAAGAAGGUGGAUCCAUAUGAGAUUAGUGACUUGUGGAGUUGGGCCUAUAGUGGAUAAUCUAUACGCACAAGGGUAACAUUUCCCUUGGAUCUUGUGAGGCGGCGGAAGCAGCUUGAAGGGGCUGGUGGGCGAGCCCGAGUGUGUAAUACAGGCAUGACAAAUUUCUUGGAGAUAAACCAAAGGGUGGAGAGAUUGGCUGAAUCAAGUGACUGCAGUGAGUACUGAAUGCAGUGAAUCCAGAUCCCAGAUGGAUGAGAUAAACUUUCUUUUAUCAAGACAUAUGUUCGUAAGCACCAUUGUCCAAGCUCUUUAUUUUUCAUAUGUUAAAAUCUGAAUCAUGUAUUAGACUAUUCCUUUUCUCAUCAACCGUGUGUGUAUUUUUACUGUGGAUGAGCCCUAUGUUUCAUCAGGUGCUGAUUCUUUAUCACACAUGAGGUUUUAGAUGGUGAAAUCUGCACAAUAAGAGAUGUUUAAACGGGUGAAUCAGUCAAAAUUUUGAUUAACCCUUUCUGCUCAUCUACAUUGUUUAAAUUUUCAUUGUUAAUGGCUUUUUAUUUUCUUUCUAAAAUUGCA